This is an RNA transcript of Eubalaena glacialis (North Atlantic right whale), 4674 nucleotides long. It is a transcript of the gene named zinc finger protein 17-like, with no coding region annotated. NCBI's taxonomy places the organism in Eukaryota, Metazoa, Chordata, Mammalia, Artiodactyla, Balaenidae. The record is from RefSeq and is a predicted model, not a curated record. The transcript has 6 exons.
GAAGGCUCAGCAGGCAAACGGUUUCGUCUGCACGCAUUCAGGGGCGGCACUUCCAUAGGCUUCAUGUGGUGGCCGGUUUUCGUGUUUUUUCACCUUUUUCAGGGCACUGAGUCCUGAGUCGGGACCGAAGAGAAUGGAACAGGCGAGGAGAGGCGUUGGCCCCGGUGCCCAGAGGCGGCUGUGAGGCCCCCUGAGCCCGUAGUUGACGGCGGUGCCCUCGUUCCCGCCCCGCCCACCGGCUCUUCCGGCUCCGUUCUUCCCACCGGCCGGUGACCCCGAUGACCGAGGCUGCGCCGAUGAGGCCGGCUUAGCAACCACAAGGAGCAGGUUUCAGAAGAUCAUGAGUUAAAUUUUGGAUGUGUGACCCUAAGAUACCUCAAGGUGGAGACGGCACAUAGGAGCAUAUCUGGCAUGGGAGCUACUCUGGCCUGUGUCUGUAGAAAAGGAUACCUGGAUGUGAUGAAUUGCCGGCCUGGAUGGAGAUGAAGGUGUAAGGUCGUGUAGACUGAGCCCUGCAGGUCAGCUCUGCUCCUAGAGGAAAAUCCCUGUGGGACAAAGAAAUAGCCAGGUUCCCAUGGCAUUUGCAGAAAUGCUUAUGGGCCUGUACAGGUGAAUGGAGGAUGUGCCAGGCCUUCAUCCACCCCAGUUAUUACCCUGAUGGUUCUGCCACUCCCAUAUAAAGAAUGCUGGUGGCCUGAGAUUGUUCACCCAUCCUUCUCCCUUCCUUGGGUCUGAAGUCCCUGUGGUUUCACCAAGGCCUAGGGUCUUGAACUCAGUCCCAGAUUAUAUGGAGCUGUUCCCAUUUCCAACAACUGAUGGAGUAAGAUGUGGAAGGAUGUCGUGGGCACAGGAUCCAGAAUAUCCAGACGACUGGAGACGUGGCCAUACAUUUCUCUCAGGAGGAGUGGGGGCUCCUUGAUGAGGCUCAGAGAUGCCUGUACCACCAUGGGAUGCUGGAGAACUUUGCGCUUCUCUCAUGACUAGGUUGUUAGCAUUGAGCCCAGGAUGAGGAGCCAUCUUCAGAGCGAGGUGUUUCUACAGAAGUGUCACUGGCCAGGACGCCAAAGCCAGGUCCCUCCAUCUGGAAUGCCCAGCCCUGUGAGACAUGCAGCUCACUCUUGAAAGACAUUUUGUCCCUGGCUGAGCAGGAUGGAACGCACCCUGGGCAAGGACUAUACACUUGUGAGGCAAAGCUUUGCCAGCACCAAAAACGUCACAUUAGAGAGAAACUUUCCAGAAAGGACAAGGGGAGGCCUUCAUUUGUGAAAAACUGCACUGUCCACAUGACACAGAGGACCUUCACAUGCAGGGAAGGUGGGAAGGACUUCCCAGCCAGCACAGGCCCUGUCCAGCACCGGCCUCCUCAUGGUGUGGGAAAGCCACAUGGGGACAUUGCAGAUGGAGAGGCCUUUCAAAAUGGGCAAAGUGAUUACAAGUGCACUCAGUGUGGGAAAGCCUUCAGCCAUAAACAUACACUUGUCGACCAUGAGAAGAUCUACACUGGAGAAAAGUUUUAUGAGAAUAGGGAAUGUGGGAAGGCCUUUCUUAGAAAGUCCCACCACGAGCAGCAUCAGAAAGUCAACAUGAGCCUGGGCUUUAUGAGCACUCAGGAUAUGGAGUAUUCUUUACAGAAAUAUCUGGCCUCAGUGACCACCAGAGAAUUCACACAAGGCCAAGGCCUUUUGAGUGCAGCCUUCCUUAGACUGUCCCAACUCGUUGGUCACCAGAAAAUCCACACUGAAGAAAGACCUUACAGUUGUAGUGAGUGUGGAAAAUUCUUUAGGAACCGUUCCACACUCAUUAGACACCAGAGAGUUCACACUGGAGAAAGGCCUUUUGAGUGCACUGAAUGCGGGAGAGCCUUCACCUGCAAACAUAGGCUUGUUGAGUACCAGAAAAUCCACAGUGGUGAAAAGACUUUUGAGUGUAGAGCAUGUGGGAAAGCUUUCAGCCACAAAGACAAAGUUGUUGAGCACCAGAAAAUCCACACAGGAGAAAGGCCUUACGAGUGCAGCGAAUGUGGGAAAUUCUUUAUGGACAGCUCCUCACUCAUUAUUCAUUAGAGAGUUCACACCGGACAAAGACCUUAUGAGUACGGCAAAUGUGGAAAAAAUUUUUUUAAUUUAUUUAUUUAUUUUUGGCUGCGUUGGGUCUUCGUUGAUGCACGUGGGCUUUCUCUAGUUGCAGGGAGCGGGGGCUACUCUUCGUUGUGGUGUACGGGCUUCUCAUUGUGGUGUCUUCUCUUGUUGCCAAGCACGGGCUCAGUAGUUGUGGCUCGUGGGCUCUAGAGCUCAGGCUCAGUAGUUGUGGCACACAGGCUUAGUUGCUCCACAGCAUGUGGGAUCUUCCUGGACCAGGGCUCGAACCCGUGUCCCCUGCAUUGGCAGGUGGAUUUUUAACCACUGCGCCACCAGGGAAGCCCCAAAUGUGGAAAAUUAUUUAGGUACUGCUUCACCCUUGUUAGACAUCAGAGAAAUCAUACUGGAGAAAGGCCUUAUGAGUGCAUGGAUGUAGGAAAUCCUUUUGUUGCAGCUCCACACUCAUUAGACAUUGGACAAAUCCCACUGGAGAAAGGCCUUAUUAGUGCAGCUAAUGAGGGAAAUUUUUGUAGUAAAACUCCAGAGUCAGUACACACUAGCGAGUUCACGUUGAUGUGAGGCCAUAUAAGAACAGCGAAUAAGGGAACAUCUUUACAUACAACUCUGGUCUUGUUAAACACUGUUGAAUUUACACUGGAGAAAUGCCUUCUGAGUGCAGUGAAUGUUGGAAAGUAUAUAGCCAAAACUUCCAUUCAUUUGGCUCCAAAAAGUUCACACCAGAGAAAGAACUUAUGAAGGAAGCAAAUGGGGAAAGGACUUCAGCCGAAAGUCUGCUCUGAUUGGCACUGUGAAGUACAUAUUAUGUACUUCUGGGGUUUUUUUUUUCCCUUCUUAUUGUGUUAAAAUACACACACAUAAAACUUGCCAUCUUUUAAGUAUUUUAGUGUGCCGUUCAGUACUGUGAGGUACAUUCACACUGUUGUGCAACCUAAUCUCCAGAGCUCCUCUUGUUUUGCAAAAAUGAAACCCUGUACCCAUUAAAUAACAACUCCUACUCCUCUCCUUCUCCAGCCCCUGGCAACCACUGUUCUCUUCUCUGUCUCCUUGAAUUUGAGUGCCCUAGCUGCCUCAUGAAAGAAGAAUCAUACAGUUUUUGUAUUUUUGUGAAGACUUCAUUUACCAGAAUUUCACAUUUCAUGUAUCACGUGUCCUGUUUCAGAAGUUCCUUCCUUUUUAAGGCUGAGUUAUACUUCAUUGUAUGCAUAUACCACAUCUUUAUCCAUUCAUCUGGUGAUGAAGACGUCCCUUGUUUCGAUAUUUUAGCUGUUGUAAAGAGUGCAGCUGUGAGAACGACUGCACAAAUAUCUCCUUGAGAUCCUGUUUUCAGUUAUUUUCAGUGUAUAGCGAGAAGUGGAAUUCCUGGAUCAUAUGGUCAAUUUUUUUUUUUUUUUAAUUUUUGGCUGCAUUGGGUCUUCAUUGCUGCACGCGGCCUUUCUCUAGUUGUGGAGUGCGGGCUUCUCAUUGCAGUGGCUUCUCGUUGCGGAGCACCAGCUCUAGGCGCACGGGCUUCAGUAGUUGUGGCUCGCAGGCUCAGUAGUUGUGGCUCACGGGCUCUAGAGCGCAGGCUCAGUAGUUGUGGCGCACAGGCUUAGUUGCUCUGUGGCAUGUGGGAUCUUCCCGGGCCAGGGCUCGAACCCGUCUCCCCUGCAUUGGCAGGCAGAUUCUUAACCACUGCGCCACCAGGGAAGUCCCCAAUCUAUUUUAAAUAUUUUGAACUGUUUCCUUUAUUGGCUGUACCAUUUUAUGCUCCCAUCAAAGGUCCACAGAGUUCCAGUAUCUCCACAUCCUCAUCGACAUAAUUUUAUUUUCCGUUUCAUGUUUAAUAGUAGCUAUCCUAAUGGAUGUGAGGUAAUAUCUCACUGUAGAUUUGUUUAUUUUAUUUUACUUUUUCUUUUUUAUGGCUGCAUCGGGUCUUAGUUGCGGCAUGCAGGCUCUUUGUUGUGGCACAUGGGCUUCUCUAGUUGUGGCAUGCAGAAUUUCUCUUCUCUAGUUGUGGCCCGUGGGCUUCUCUCUAGGUGUGGUGUGCAGGUUUUCUGUUCUUCAGUUGUGGCCCAUGGGCUCCAGAGCGUGUGGGCUCUAUAGUUGUGCAUGCAGGCUCCAGAGCGUGUGGGCUCUGUAGUUUGCAGCAUGCAGGCUCUCUAGUAGAGGAGCGCGAGCUCAGUAGUUGUGGUGCGUGGGCUUAGUUGCCCUGUGGCAUGUGGGAUCUUAGUUCCCCAACUAGGGAUCGAACCCGCAUCCCCUGCAUUGCAAGGUGGAUUCUUUACCACUGGACCACCAGGGAAGUCCCCUCACUGUAGUUUUGUUUAGCAUUUCCCUAAUGAUUAAUGAUCAUGUCUUCUUGGCCAUUUGUGUAUAUUCUUUGUAAAAAUCUCUAUGUUUACCCCUUUAAAAUUUUUCUUAUUGGUGAGUUGUAGCAGUUCUUUAUAUAAUCUGGAUACUGACCACUUAUCAAAUAUAUGAUUUGCAAAUGCUUUUCUUCCAUUCAGUAGCUUGCCGUUUCACUCUGUUGAUUGUGUCCUUUGCACAGACGUUUGUACCUUUAUCUAUUUUUGCUUUUGUUUCCUAUGCUUUUCAU